UAGAGACUCAUUCUACAAGGAUGUUUGUCAAAGGCCAAGCCUGAUCACUAAAUCUCUACAAAGCAGAAGGCAAAAAUCACCAUAAAUUCAAAAACAAAAACUGUUCCACAAAUACUGUGAGAAUGAGGAGAAUUGUGGAAAAUAAUGACUUCAGAUUACUGGAUACACUUGAGGCAGUGGGCUGCACACAGACAGGCUGGUCUCCAGUCAAGCAAAGAUCUAGAACCCCAGUGGACCCAAUGGAU
This 245-nucleotide long non-coding RNA is filed under the name Mus spicilegus (steppe mouse). Its description in RNAcentral is "lncRNA (ENSMSIG00000017338.1)". The record is from RNAcentral. Lineage: Eukaryota; Metazoa; Chordata; Mammalia; Rodentia; Muridae.